CCUAGCCCCGAUCGGCGAUCGAAGAUUCCGCUUCUCCGCCGCCGUCGACCUUGCCGUCGUUUGAGGUAAGCCUCCUACUCCUCCUCCUCCUCCUCCUCCUUGUUUUCUUCUUGUCUUUAACUCUCUUCCGGCCCCGUCUCCUCAUCCUCUGCCGGUCGAUGCCCUAGUUGCGCGCCGACAGCUCACCUCCAUCCUGAGCGAGCUCUAGCUACUCCGUCGCCGUCGACAUCGCCGUCGUCUGAGGUAAGUGAUCCUCAUACUCUCCGUCUUGAUCCUCAUACACAUUUUCCUGUUAUUGGGGUUAGGCAAAACAAUGAACAAUUGAAGAGAGAGCGCUGAGCAGCAGAUGAGAAAGCAAAGGGAUUUUGGAUGGUAGACUAGUAGUAUUUCUAGACUAGAUUUCUUGUAUCUUCUUCUCUCUAUUUCCCCUCCAUUCCUUUCCUUUUCCAUGCCUAGACUCCUCUUUUUUGAGCUUGCAUUUGCAAAGAGUGGUGUUAGAUUCACCUUUAGCAGAGUGUACCAGUUGACUGGCUCAAAAAUCCUGAUAGGCAUCGUAUUUGGUGCGUAUCCCAUGUGUCUGAUAAGUGCUUUAGGGUUUAGGAAACAACAAAGACCUGGUUUCAGUUCUGAAGAUUGUGGUGGAGAUGAAAUCAUUGCCUGAUCUUGUUAUUGAUAGAACUGCAUAUACUGCAAUGGUUGAUGCAUUGCUGGCUUGUGGGUCGACCAAGGGUAAUAUGUGUAACUUCUGAAGUGUUACCGUUGGCCUCUUUAAUAAUGAUAUUUUUUUUCAUUCUUUCUUUUACUAUCAAAUUUUAACUUAACCAUUGCAUACAUAAAUUCAGCUUGUUGAGCUUGAGGGUACAAGAUAUUAUUAGUUAAUUGUCUAAAAUCUAUUUUCUGUGAUUAUGAAUGGAAUCAGAAAUUGUUAGAGUUUGUAUAGAAGAGUAAGGCUGUCAGUUUGUUUACAAUAUACAUUAUUUGUUUAUGUAGAUAAAUGAAUCUAUUUCUAUAAAGUAUGAAUACAAGAAUUGGAAAGAGGAACUUCAAAGAUUACUUCAACUUUUACAGUUCCAUGAACUUGACGACUACUCAUGAGAUGAAUUCAUCAACACAAGGAAAUGUGGACUUAUAGCAGCCAACAAAUAAAUAAAGUGAUCGUUCAUCUUAGGAACGACUGACUUGAAACAUUAGCAUGCCACUGCAACUUGAUCAUUUACUCAAUCAAAUUUGUCAACAACAGCCACUUAAACACCAAAGCAGAACUCGAUUGAAGCAUGAAGGUUUAAACACUAGGAAGCCAUAAUAUGUUUAACUGUACAAAUAUUCUCUCAAACAUCUAAAUCACUAUUUAAUUUUUUAAUUCUUUUAUUGUUGAUUUAACGCUGGAAUAGAAACUAAGUGCAUAAUUAGAUACAUAAGAUUAAAUCUAACAUAAUGCAAUCCACAUAACAUAGAAUAUGUUGUAUAAUUCUCUUAUUUCUUCAUUAAUUUGAUAGUUUAUAAACUUAUAACUGUUUCUCAUAGAAACUAUGUAACUUUUAAAAUUCUAUAAAUACUUACUUUAAAAUUGAGAGCUCUUAGAAACCAUUUAAGUGUUUUGGAACCAUGUUCUGAAAGCAAAAGCCUGUAAUGAUAUGCCUUCAUUUUCAGUGCUUAAGAGUAAUCCUGUAACCAGUUGAUUUCCUAAAGCUUCUACAAGUUGAGGAGGAGCAAGAUGAGGCUACUGAUUUGGUUAGCAUCCAACAGCAUGUGCUUCUGAAUGAGGGCAUAGACAGGGUGACUUGGAUAUGGGAUCUUCCUUGUGAAAGGUUUCUAUGAUUCUUUUUUUUUUUCCCACUGUGGAGGGAUCUGUUCCUCCUAUUUUUUAUGCUACUUGGAGGAGUGCAAUUCUGAAGAAGCUUAGAGAUAUUGGGAGGCUGUUGUUGAUUAAAAAGCUAUUAACAGUGGAGAAUCAAACAAAGAGGAACUGGAACUUGCCUUUGAGAUGUGUUCUGUGCUGAGCAUUAGGAAAUCGUGGGCUAUUUGUUCAUCAGUUGGAGAAUGUUGGCAGGUUCUUAAGCAUUUCUGGCAUUUCUAUACAUUUGCUUAAUGUAUAGAAAUUACUUCUAUACAUUGAAUUAUUAGCAAUUUAUUUAGAUUUUAUUUAUUAUUUAACUAAUAUUGCUUCUUUUUGUGCAUACUAAGUAACAACAUGCCGUGAGGAAAAUGAUUCAGAGAUGUUGAGUUUCAGCACACAUCCGUAGGAUCUUCUUUCGAUCAGUCCCCACGGUCUCAGCAGCCCAACGAGCCCCAUCAGCACGAGUCUCAGUCUGAGCACGUGCCACCUGCUAAUUGUCCAGACAUGGAUGACGUGCAUAUCCAGGGUAAUUUGAUUUAUAUUUUUUAUAUUAAUUUUUCUUACAAUCCAUGGAUAUUUUAUUUUAUUUUUAUAGAUGGACUGGGGAGAGUGAGGAGGACACGAGGACCCACUCGAGCACAGGACGUGUGGAGUCUACGUGAGGAUGAGAAGAUCGUCGUUCAAUGCAAUGAACUGGGGCAGCCUAUCAAGAGGAAGCAAGCAUUUUAUCGACUUUUCUAGGAUCGGUUGCACGGAAGGGUCAGUUGUGUCUGCUCAACUAUACGAAAUGGAAUGAAAUGCUUCCUUCGUAUAAGGUUGAGCUUUUUAAAGUUAUUGAGAAAAAGUUUGUCCUUCCUGCAAAUAGCCAUAAUUGGGUGUUGAAGUCCGUCAACCGCAAAUGGAAAGAAUAUAAGGCGAACUAAAGACGGACUGGAAGCACGUGGGCAUGACUGAAGAGGAGGUGGCUCGUGUUUGCCCUCCUGAUGUAAUCCCUCAUCAAUGGAGGGAGCUUGUCCACUACUGAUUUUCAGAGAAAGCUCAGACAUAUUUCAACAUUGGUAGAGCUGCACGAGCCUCUCAG
Molecule: non-coding RNA, 2918 nt
Organism: Phoenix dactylifera (date palm)
Lineage: Eukaryota; Viridiplantae; Streptophyta; Magnoliopsida; Arecales; Arecaceae
Source: RefSeq, a predicted model, not a curated record